ACUCUGUUGUUGGAGAAGAAGGAUAGAGGUAGCAACUGGCCUUUAUUUGACGGUAAUCAACCAGAAAGUCACGGCUAACUACGUGCCAGCAGCCGCGGUAAUACGUAGGCGGCAAGCGUUGUCCGGAUUUAUUGGGCGUAAAGCGAGCGCAGGCGGAAAAAUAAGUCUAAUGUGAAAGCCCUCGGCUUAACCGAGGAACUGCAUCGGAAACUGUUUUUCUUGAGUGCAGAAGAGGAGAGUGGAACUCCAUGUGNAGCGGUGGAAUGCGUAGAUAUAUGGAAGAACACCAGUGGCGAAGGCGGCUCUCUGGUCUGCAACUGACGCUGANGCUCGAAAGCAUGGGUAGC
RNAcentral lists this ribosomal RNA (347 nucleotides) under uncultured Lactobacillus sp. RNAcentral's name for it is "bacterial SSU rRNA". It matches the Rfam family "Bacterial small subunit ribosomal RNA", at positions 430 to 769 of the family's 1533-position model. Lineage: Bacteria; Bacillati; Bacillota; Bacilli; Lactobacillales; Lactobacillaceae. The record is from RNAcentral.